CCUACGGGUGGCUGCAGUGGGGAAUUUUCCGCAAUGGGCGAAAGCCUGACGGAGCAAUACCGCGUGAGGGAGGAAGGCUCUUGGGUUGUAAACCUCUUUUCUCAAGGAAUAAAUUUGAAGGUACUUGAGGAAUCAGCAUCGGCUAACUCCGUGCCAGCAGCCGCGGUAAUACGGAGGAUGCAAGCGUUAUCCGGAAUGAUUGGGCGUAAAGGGUCCGCAGGUGGCAUUGAAAGUCUGCUGUUAAAGAGUGCAGCUCAACUGCAUAAGGGCAGUGG
RNAcentral lists this ribosomal RNA (275 nucleotides) under uncultured bacterium. RNAcentral describes it as "partial 16S ribosomal RNA". It matches the Rfam family "Bacterial small subunit ribosomal RNA", at positions 338 to 629 of the family's 1533-position model. The record is from RNAcentral.